CCCUUAGAUGUUCUGGGCGGCCCGCGCACUACAUUGGCACUCUCAAUAAGUUCCUAGAUCUAAAACUUUGGGGUAUUCUAUUAAGUGGUGUCGUGACUGGGAUUAACCCUUGCAAUUAUUGGUUACGAACGAGGAAUUCCUUGUAAUCGCGGUUUAUCAGCCCGCGUUGAAUGCGUCCCUGCCCUUUGUACACACCGCCCGUCGCUCCUACCGAUGAAUCGUCCGGCGAAGUUCAUGGAGUGGUGGUUGUUCCAGCUGCUGUCGAAGUGAAAUGGACCUCACGAUUUAGAGGAAGGAGAAGUCGUAACA
Molecule: ribosomal RNA, 309 nt
Filed under: uncultured eukaryote
Lineage: Eukaryota
Description: partial 18S ribosomal RNA
Rfam family: Eukaryotic small subunit ribosomal RNA
Source: RNAcentral